Molecule: ribosomal RNA, 468 nt
Filed under: uncultured bacterium
Lineage: Bacteria
Description: partial 16S ribosomal RNA
Rfam family: Bacterial small subunit ribosomal RNA
Source: RNAcentral
GACGAACGCUGGCGGCGUGCUUAACACAUGCAAGUCGAACGGAAAGGCCCUGCUUUUGUGGGGUGCUCGAGUGGAGACCGGGUGAGUUACACGUGAGUUACCUGCCAUUGCCUUUGGGAUAACUUAAGGCAACUGGGGCUCAUACCGGAUAGGAGCUCCCGCUGCUUGGUGGGGGUUGGAAAGUUUCGGCGGUUGGGGAGGGACUCGCGGCUCAUCAGCUUGUUGGUUGGGUAGUGGCUUACCAAGGCUUUGACGGGUGGCAGGGCUGGUAGGGUGACCGGCCCCGUUGGGACUGGGAUGCGACCCAGACUCCUACGGGAGGCAGCAGUGGGGUAGAUUGCACUAGGGGCGGAAGCCUGAUGCAGCAAAGCCGCGUGCGGGAUGACGUCCUUCGGUUUGUAUUCCGCUUUCGCCUGUGACGAAGCGUGAGUGACGGUAAUGGGUAAAGAAGCACCGGCUAACUACGUG